RNAcentral lists this ribosomal RNA (473 nucleotides) under uncultured bacterium. RNAcentral's name for it is "bacterial SSU rRNA". It matches the Rfam family "Bacterial small subunit ribosomal RNA", at positions 355 to 825 of the family's 1533-position model. The record is from RNAcentral.
UGGGGAAUUGUUCACAAUGGGCGCAAGCCUGAUGACGCAACGCCGCGUGGGGGAUGAAGGUCUUCGGAUUGUAAACCCCUGUCGAAUGGGACGAAAGACUCGCGAGUUAAUACUUCGCGGGAGUGACGGUACCGUUAAAGGAAGCCACGGCUAACUCUGUGCCAGCAGCCGCGGUAAUACAGAGGCCACGAACGUUGUUCGGAAUCACUGGGCAUAAAGCGCACGUAGGCGGCUAGGUCCGUCCGAUGUGAAAGCCCCCGGCUCAACCGGGGAAUUGCAUCGGAUACAGCCUGGCUUGAGGACGGUUGGGGUGAGUGGAACUCCUGGUGGAGCGGUGAAAUGCGUAGAUAUCGGGAGGAACAUCAGUGGCGAAGGCGGCCCUCUGGUCCAGUACUGACACUCAAGUGCGAAAGCGUGGGGAGCAAACAGGAUUAGAUACCCAAGUAGUCCCUGAGCGGGCUGGCAAGGCGCAU